Molecule: ribosomal RNA, 640 nt
Filed under: uncultured bacterium
Lineage: Bacteria
Description: bacterial SSU rRNA
Rfam family: Bacterial small subunit ribosomal RNA
Source: RNAcentral
GAAAGAUUCAUCGGAAGAGGAUGGGCAUGCGGCGCAUUAGCUAGACGGCGGGGUAACGGCCCACCGUGGCGACGAUGCGUAGGGGUUCUGAGAGGAAGGUCCCCCACACUGGUACUGAGACACGGACCAGACUCCUACGGGAGGCAGCAGUGAGGAAUAUUGGUCAAUGGGAGAGAUCCUGAACCAGCCAAGCCGCGUGAGGGAAGACGGCCCUAUGGGUUGUAAACCUCUUUUGUCGGAGAACAAAACCCGGGACGUGUCCCGGACUGCGUGUAUCCGAAGAAAAAGCAUCGGCUAACUCCGUGCCAGCAGCCGCGGUAAUACGGAGGAUGCGAGCGUUAUCCGGAUUUAUUGGGUUUAAAGGGUGCGUAGGCGGUCCGUUAAGUCAGCGGUAAAAUUGCGGGGCUCAACCCCGUCGAGCCGUUGAAACUGGCAGACUUGAGUUGGCGAGAAGUACGCGGAAUGCGCGGUGUAGCGGUGAAAUGCAUAGAUAUCGCGCAGAACUCCGAUUGCGGAGGCAGCGUACCGGCGCCAGACUGACGCUGAGGCACGAAAGCGUGGGGAUCGAACAGGAUUAGAUACCCUGGUAGUCCACGCAGUAAACGAUGAAUGCUGGUUGUCCGGGUCGAAUGAGAUCUGG